AGGGGAGUAGCUCAGUUGGUAGAGCGACGGUCUCCAACACCGUAGGUCGCGGGUUCGAUCCCUGUCUCCCCUGCCA
Molecule: transfer RNA, 76 nt
Filed under: Chloroflexota bacterium
Lineage: Bacteria; Bacillati; Chloroflexota
Also listed under: 1 other name
Description: tRNA-Trp
Rfam family: tRNA
About the family: Transfer RNA (tRNA) molecules are approximately 80 nucleotides in length. Their secondary structure includes four short double-helical elements and three loops (D, anti-codon, and T loops). Further hydrogen bonds mediate the characteristic L-shaped molecular structure. tRNAs have two regions of fundamental functional importance: the anti-codon, which is responsible for specific mRNA codon recognition, and the 3' end, to which the tRNAs corresponding amino acid is attached (by aminoacyl-tRNA synthetases). tRNAs cope with the degeneracy of the genetic code in two manners: having more than one tRNA (with a specific anti-codon) for a particular amino acid; and 'wobble' base-pairing, i.e. permitting non-standard base-pairing at the 3rd anti-codon position.
Source: RNAcentral